This 447-nucleotide ribosomal RNA is filed under the name uncultured organism. Its description in RNAcentral is "partial 16S ribosomal RNA". It matches the Rfam family "Bacterial small subunit ribosomal RNA", at positions 335 to 798 of the family's 1533-position model. The record is from RNAcentral.
ACUCCUACGGGAGGCAGCAGUGGGGAAUAUUGGACAAUGGGCGCAAGCCUGAUCCAGCCAUGCCGCGUGAGUGAUCAAGGCCCUAGGGUUGUAAAGCUCUUUCACCGGUGAAGAUAAUGACGGUAACCGGAGAAGAAGCCCCGGCUAACUUCGUGCCAGCAGCCGCGGUAAUACGAAGGGGGCUAGCGUUGUUCGGAUUUACUGGGCGUAAAGCGCACGUAGGCGGACUAUUAAGUCAGGGGUGAAAUCCCGGGGCUCAACCCCGGAACUGCCUUUGAUACUGGUAGUCUUGAGUUCGAGAGAGGUGAGUGGAAUUCCGAGUGUAGAGGUGAAAUUCGUAGAUAUUCGGAGGAACACCAGUGGCGAAGGCGGCUCACUGGCUCGAUACUGACGCUGAGGUGCGAAAGCGUGGGGAGCAAACAGGAUUAGAUACCCCUGUAGUCCCAU